UACGUAGGUGGCAAGCGUUGUCCGGAGUUAUUGGGCGUAAAGCGCGCGCAGGCGGUGCGGUAAGUCUCUGGUGAAAGCGCUCGGCUUAACUGGGCGAGGGCCGGGGAGACUGCCACGCUGGAGGGGAGCAGAGGCGAGUGGAAUUCCGGGUGUAGCGGUGAAAUGCGUAGAUAUCGGGAGGAACACCUGUGGCGAAAGCGGCUCACUGGACCAUAACUGACGCUGAUGCACGAAAGCUGGGGGAGCAAACAGG
This 253-nucleotide ribosomal RNA is filed under the name uncultured bacterium. RNAcentral describes it as "partial 16S ribosomal RNA". It matches the Rfam family "Bacterial small subunit ribosomal RNA", at positions 524 to 776 of the family's 1533-position model. The record is from RNAcentral.